GUGAUAAGAGACGAAAAACCAAAGUUCCGUAAGGACUACAUACCAAAGAUAGCAGAGUUACAAUUCUCUUCGAUCACAAUACUUCAUAAUUUGGAUCUCAUCUGCAGGAUCAAACUAUGAAGCAGAUACUAGCAUUCGUAACCUUGGUGGUUACCCUUCAAGUGGUAGCAGGGAGGGGUCGAUUUGCACCCCUCUACCGAGCAAAAGAUGCUAUCAAAGGGGACUACAUCGUUGUACUCAAGGAUGGCGUCGACCAGGAUGCGAUCUCGGAGUCGAUGAUGAGGACUACCAGGGAACAAGGUGAAACCAUGAUAGUAAGAAAACGACUUCGUAAACUCAUCAACGCUUUCGUCGCAAAGCUUCCAGCCAGGGCUCUCCGAUUG
Lytechinus pictus (painted urchin) is the source of this 383-nucleotide long non-coding RNA. RefSeq lists it as uncharacterized. The transcript is spliced from 3 exons. NCBI's taxonomy places the organism in Eukaryota, Metazoa, Echinodermata, Echinoidea, Temnopleuroida, Toxopneustidae. The record is from RefSeq and is a predicted model, not a curated record.